RNAcentral lists this ribosomal RNA (252 nucleotides) under uncultured bacterium. RNAcentral's name for it is "partial 16S ribosomal RNA". It matches the Rfam family "Bacterial small subunit ribosomal RNA", at positions 524 to 776 of the family's 1533-position model. The record is from RNAcentral.
UACGUAGGUGGCAAGCGUUAUCCGGAUUUAUUGGGCGUAAAGGGACGCAGGCGGUCUUUUAAGUCUGAUGUGAAAGCCUUCGGCUUAACCGGAGUAGUGCAUUGGAAACUGGGAGACUUGAGUGCAGAAGAGGAGAGUGGAACUCCAUGUGUAGCGGUGAAAUGCGUAGAUAUAUGGAAGAACACCAGAGGCGAAAGCGGCUCUCUGGUCUGUAACUGACGCUGAGGUUCGAAAGCGUGGGUAGCAAACAGG